GCCAGGCAUGGUGGUGCACACCUGUAAUCCCAGCAGCUCGGGAGGCUGAGGCAGGAGGAUGGAGAGUUCAAAGUCACCUCAACAAUGGUGAGGCACUAAGCAACUCAGAGAGAGACCCUGUCUCUAAAUAAAAUACAAAAUAGGGCUGGGGGUGCUGCUCAGUGGUUGAGUGCCCCUGAGUUCAAUCCCUGGUACCUACCUCCU
This 204-nucleotide small RNA is filed under the name Marmota monax (woodchuck). The record is from RNAcentral. Lineage: Eukaryota; Metazoa; Chordata; Mammalia; Rodentia; Sciuridae.